RNAcentral lists this ribosomal RNA (541 nucleotides) under uncultured bacterium. Its description in RNAcentral is "bacterial SSU rRNA". It matches the Rfam family "Bacterial small subunit ribosomal RNA", at positions 967 to 1509 of the family's 1533-position model. The record is from RNAcentral.
AACCUUACCUGGUCUUGACAUAGUAAGAACUUUCCAGAGAUGGAUUGGUGCCUUCGGGAACUUACAUACAGGUGCUGCAUGGCUGUCGUCAGCUCGUGUCGUGAGAUGUUGGGUUAAGUCCCGCAACGAGCGCAACCCUUUCCUAUUUGCCAGCGGGUUAAGCCGGGAACUUUAAGGAUACUGCCAGUGACAAACUGGAGGAAGGCGGGGACGACGUCAAGUCAUCAUGGCCCUUACGACCAGGGCUACACACGUGCUACAAUGGUCGGUACAAAGGGUUGCUACCUCGCGAGAGGAUGCUAAUCUCAAAAAGCCGAUCGUAGUCCGGAUUGGAGUCUGCAACUCGACUCCGUGAAGUCGGAAUCGCUAGUAAUCGCGGAUCAGAAUGCCGCGGUGAAUACGUUCCCGGGCCUUGUACACACCGCCCGUCACACCAUGGGAGUUUGUUGCACCAGAAGUAGGUAGUCUAACCGCAAGGAGGACGCUUACCACGGUGUGGCAGAUGACUGGGGUGAAGUCGUAACAAGGUAGGCGUAGAUGA